RNAcentral lists this ribosomal RNA (497 nucleotides) under uncultured bacterium. RNAcentral's name for it is "partial 16S ribosomal RNA". It matches the Rfam family "Bacterial small subunit ribosomal RNA", at positions 28 to 507 of the family's 1533-position model. The record is from RNAcentral.
GAUGAACGCUGGCGGCGUGCCUAAUACAUGCAAGUCGAGCGAACAGACGAGGAGCUUGCUCCUCUGACGUUAGCGGCGGACGGGUGAGUAACACGUGGAUAACCUACCUAUAAGACUGGGAUAACUUCGGGAAACCGGAGCUAAUACCGGAUAAUAUAUUGAACCGCAUGGUUCAAUAGUGAAAGACGGUUUUGCUGUCACUUAUAGAUGGAUCCGCGCCGCAUUAGCUAGUUGGUAAGGUAACGGCUUACCAAGGCUACGAUGCGUAGCCGAACUGAGAGGGUGAUCGGCCACACUGGAACUGAGACACGGUCCAGACUCCUACGGGAGGCAGCAGUAGGGAAUCUUCCGCAAUGGGCGAAAGCUUGACGGAGCAACGCCGCGUGAGUGAUGAAGGUCUUCGGAUCGUAAAACUCUGUUAUUAGGGAAGAACAAAUGUGUAAGUAACUAUGCACGUCUUGACGGUACCUAAUAAGAAAGCCACGGCUAACUACGUG